UGGGGAAUAUUGGUCAAUGGGCGAAAGCCUGAACCAGCAAUGCCGCGUGGGUGAUGAAGGCCUUCGGGUUGUAAAGCCCUGUCAGUGGGAAAGAAAAAACCGGUUAAUACCCGGUCUUGACGGUACCCGCAAAGGAAGCACCGGCUAACUCUGUGCCAGCAGCCGCGGUAAUACAGAGGGUGCAAGCGUUGUUCGGAAUUACUGGGCGUAAAGCGCGUGUAGGCGGCUUAUUAAGUCGGACGUGAAAUCCCUUGGCUCAACCAAGGAACUGCGUCCGAUACUGCUAAGCUUGAGUGUCGGAGGGGGUGGCGGAAUUCCCGGUGUAGAGGUGAAAUUCGUAGAUAUCGGGAGACACCUGUGGCGAAGGCGGCCACCUGGAAGACAACUGACGCUGAGACGCGAAAGCGUGGGGAGCAAACAGGAUUAGAUACCCUGGUAGUCCACGCCGUAACGAUGAGUGCUAGGUGUGCGGGUAUGACCCUGCAGUGCCAAAGCUAACGCGUUAAGCA
Molecule: ribosomal RNA, 509 nt
Filed under: uncultured Pseudomonadota bacterium
Lineage: Bacteria; Pseudomonadati; Pseudomonadota
Description: bacterial SSU rRNA
Rfam family: Bacterial small subunit ribosomal RNA
Source: RNAcentral